GAUGAAGAACGUAGCGAAAUGCGAUACGUAGUGUGAAUUGCAGAAUUCAGUGAAUCAUCGAAUCUUUGAACGCACAUUGCGCCCCUUGGUAUUCCAUGGGGCAUGCCUGUUCGAGCGUCAUUUGUACCUUCAAGCUUUGCUUGGUGUUGGGUGUUUGUCUCGCCUCUGCGUGUAGACUCGCCUUAAAACAAUUGGCAGCCGGCGUAUUGAUUUCGGAGCGCAGUACAUCUCGCGCUUUGCACUCAUAACGACGACGUCCAAAAGUACAUUUUUACACUCUUGACCUCGGAUCAGGUAGGGAUACCCGCUGAACUUAAGCAUAUCAAUAAGCGGAGGA
Molecule: unclassified non-coding RNA, 337 nt
Filed under: soil metagenome
Description: partial contains 5.8S ribosomal RNA, internal transcribed spacer 2, and large subunit ribosomal RNA
Rfam family: 5.8S ribosomal RNA (bases 1-120)
Source: RNAcentral